Molecule: ribosomal RNA, 433 nt
Filed under: uncultured bacterium
Lineage: Bacteria
Description: partial 16S ribosomal RNA
Rfam family: Bacterial small subunit ribosomal RNA
Source: RNAcentral
AACGAACGCUGGCGGCAUGCCUAACACAUGCAAGUCGAACGAGACCUUCGGGUCUAGUGGCGCACGGGUGCGUAACGCGUGGGAACCUGCCUUUAGGUUCGGAAUAACUCAGAGAAAUUUGAGCUAAUACCGGAUGAUGUCUUAGGACCAAAGAUUUAUCGCCUUUAGAUGGGCCCGCGUUGGAUUAGCUAGUUGGUGGGGUAAAGGCCUACCAAGGCGACGAUCCAUAGCUGGUCUGAGAGGAUGAUCAGCCACACUGGGACUGAGACACGGCCCAGACUCCUACGGGAGGCAGCAGUGGGGAAUAUUGGACAAUGGGCGAAAGCCUGAUCCAGCAAUGCCGCGUGAGUGAUGAAGGCCUUAGGGUUGUAAAGCUCUUUUACCCGAGAUGAUAAUGACAGUAUCGGGAGAAUAAGCUCCGGCUAACUCCGUG